CUAAGCUCUCUGUGUUGAUUCUGGAACAUUCAUAGCUCUCAAUAUUGAAAAAUCUUCCCUUAAGAAAGAAAAUAAAAAAGCUACAAAGCAAGUUUUUUUACCAAGUAAUUGAAAAUCUGAAAUUAAAAUGUGAGCUUUUUUUAGUUAAACUGUUCCCAUAAAAAGUCUGAUGUAUUGGCUGGCUAAGAUCUCUAUUAUGUCCUGCCAGAAUGUAGAUCUGAAUUUCAAUGUCUCUUUAAUGUAUAUUUUUUUCCAUUUUCAAGAACUCUCUUUCUAGAGCUCAUCAUCUGAUGUUAUGCAUUAAAAUUCAUAAAAUUCAGCAGCUUUGUAUUAAAUUUAGGAAACAUUCAAACAAUUUAGCUGUCAGAAGGGUCUUGAUAAGGACCUAGAAACCUCUAAUAUCUCAGUGUGAAAAAGAGGGAGCUUAGGUGUGCUUAUUUGAACUUGAUUUAUUAUUAUCAGAGAGUGCUGGUGCCUGGAGCACCUGAAUGUCCUUCUAAAGGUAACUCCUGGCAAGUGGUGAGGAACAGUCAAACAAUUCAAAAGCAGAAUUAAUUUUUGGAUGCUCUUUUCUGACAUGAUAGCCCAUGAUGUGUUCUUUAGGUGAUAAUAGUGGUACCAAAUUAGCUCUUAGCUGGAAGGACCUGUGCUGAAAGGUGCUCUACCAGGAUUCCUUUCUAGUUGUGACAAGUUUUUUAUCUAUUAGAAAUAGGGCAAAUAUAAGGGAAAUUCAUUACUCCAUUAAUGGAAAAACUCCUCCUCAUUUGAGUCUGCAUGUCCAAGUGGGUUUAUCUCUUGGAAAAUUGGUAUAACAGUGUUUAAGUGGAUAUAAUAAUGCUUGCACACCUCAAAAGAAAGUUGUGAGACGUAAUAGGCUGAUUAAUUGACUUUUGUGCUGUGUGAAAUGUUUCUAUCAAUUCUUAGAUUUCGUGUGUGUGUCAAAAAUAAGAUAGACGGAUAAAUGUGUAGUUACACAUACAGGAAAAAGAAAUUUUGACUUCAAAUACAAAAUGUUGUGUUUUGAGAGACCAGGAACAAGACCUUGGGGAGCUUAUAGAUAGAUAGUUCUAUGAAAUUGUCACCUUAGUGUUCAGCAGCAGUUUGAAGAGUAAAGAGAUACUCAUAAGUAUUAGGAGAGGAAUAGAGCAGAAAACAGAAGACAUCAUUAUGACAAUAAGUACAUUCAUGGUUUUCCCACAUCUUGAUAGCUGUGUGCAAUUCUGGUCCUCUCAUUUUAAAAAAGUAUGUCCUUAAAGGGGAAAAGGUUCAGUUCGUAGUGACAAGGGCAAUUCAGAGGUCUGGAACAGUAUCUGUGUGAGGAGAAUCAAGUUACAUCUACCAGUGCACUUACUGCACUUCAGUUCAAACACAGGACAGUCUUGGAGCACCUGAAACUGAGUUCCCUUUGGAUGAAACAAAACCAGUCCAUGUCCUGGAACGUGCCUAAUACAAUGCUGGAACAUGCCCAGUGCAAUCCAGCUGCUAUUGAGUGUAAGAUUUGCAGGACCAAUUUUAUUCUAAUUGGAAGAAAAACAAAUGGUGAGGAUGCUGGAGACUCUAUAUCAAUAAUUUUAUUUUGCAAAUGCACUCCUAUUACUUGUUCUACAAUGCAGGCAUAGCUGAGAUGGACGCUUCAACCUGAAAAAUAACUUAUUUAUUUGAGAUAUGAGAGAGGUCAACAUAAUUCCAAGUGGCAUGGAGAGAAAUGCUGGAGAUCAACUGGUUAUUGUAUUUUUCAGAUACAGAUCCCAUAGAAUUAGGUAUUACAUUAAUUUGGAUCAGGUUCAAAACAAAGAAAAGGCUAAAACCAAAGACUUCAAAACAAAAGUUCUUUGUGUGGCAUGUAGUGGUCCUCCAGAACUCCUUGUCAAAGGAAGUUUUAUGUGGGUGAAGUUCAAGUGGGUGUGAAGACAGACUGGACAAAUGCUUGGAAGAGAGAUCUGUUGAUGUUAAAACUGGAUUACCAAUUGCAUCAGGAUCAGAAAAUCUCUUUGGGUGAAAGUGGCUGGAUCACUUAUGCUCCCUUUUCUUUCUCUUCCCUGCAUGUCCACUUGUGACCACUGCUGGAGAUGGAACAUUGAUCAAGGUAAGCCCUUGCUCUGAGCCAGUGUGGCCACUUGGCUAAGAAGACGAGGGCUUGAAAAAAGCUAAGCUUGAAAGUCCUGCCAGAGGUGAAUGUUAUGACAGGAUGCAGAUACAGGUGGUCGAAAUGUUUGUGUAUUGGGACUCUGGGAGCCUCCUUAUUGUCACUGCUUUCAUAAAUUCUUUAGGUCACCUACCCAAUCACUGAAGACCGUGGCAGAGAGGUGCUUCUGUAUUCUGCUCCAGCUUUGCACUAUGCAGCUUUUCACAGCCUGUUCUACUGCCACGCAGAAGAGCAGCAGUGAAAAUGCCCAUGUUUCUGGAACCCACUCCUGUGCAUGGCUGGAUUGAGAACGGAAGGGAGCGUGUGGCGCUGCUAUACGGAAAUACAGAGAGAACAAUGGUUAUCCACCGAAUUUUCAAUGGAACUACAACAAACAAGGACCAAUAAGCACUUCUGGGAACACAAUGAGAAUAUAGAUAUUUAUAUGGGACUGAGUAUUUGCAGAAGAUAAAGUUAACUCCUGACAGAAUUCUGGCAGCCAAGGAGAUUCUGCUUGGUAUGACUCCAACUAUUCAAAAGGAAACAGUACACUGUCAUGGGAGGUUGCAAAACACUGAUGGCAAAUCAGUUUUCAUUUCUGAUAAGUUAUAUAUCAUAUUUGUAUUAAUUAAAGCAAUAAAAAAUAUUUAUAUCAGACAUUCCUUUGGUGUGAAGGUGAGGAGCAGAAAAGGCCUUGAUGGUGUUUAAGCAAUGCUCAACUAUAGCUGAAACAUCUCUAUAUUAUCAACUUUGUUUCCAGCACAAAUCCAAAACACAGCCCCAUACUAGUUAAUGUAAAGAAAAUAAACUUUACCCCAGCCAAAACCAUCACAUAGGUAUUCUCUUUAAGCCAAAGAGGAAUGAGGUUCAAAGAAUCAUUCUGAAGAGGAAGCAACAGUGAGUAAAAAGGUUCACUGUGAGAUAUGAGCUAAUAUGGAAAACAAGGAGGCAGAGAUUAUAAAAAAAGUAAAAUUCUCAUCAAUUAACCUAGCCUGUAAAUAAACUGCAGAAGUUCCUAUUGUAAUUAGGGCCUAAAAAAUCUAAUAUUUGGUUUAAAGGUUGGAUUAUGGUUCUGCCAUGGACUUUCAGUCAGGGAUUAGGAUAAAAAAGAAAUAAAUUUUCUUUAGACAGAGAUUUAUAAGUUCAGAAAAAGACUUAGAAUGGGACUUGAUGUGGUGACCCAGAUUUCUAUUUACAGCCUUGUUUGCUUGUGCAGUUUUAAACAAAUAUUUACCCUAGCAUGAUAUAUUUCUUCUUUGUUCUGUGGAAUUAAAGACACUUACUGAGUGCAUGUCUUUAAUUCUCAUGUUGUAGAUGAGGACCAGUUAUUAAGUCUGAAAAGUUUGUAUUACUUUAAUGAAUCUGAAAGGCUCGUGCAGAACCGGGACCAUCAGGAGGCAUUUCAUUUCAUGCUCAGGUGCAUUGAAAAUGAUAAUGUAUGAAAAGUUUAAACUGCUACACUUUUUCAUCCUGUUAUUUAGCUAUUGUGCUGUGAAAGUGAGAGAGAUUAUUUAUGAACCGUUCCUUAACAUCAGUGUGCAGCCUCACAUCACCACUUGGCUUUCUUACAAUGUCUGAAGUGAUGAAGGUUGUUCAAGUAGACCAGUCAAUGCUUUGUGAUUUACCAUCUCUUUUUCAUCUAAGUGAUGUGCCAGGGUAAUACAGCAUAGCAGCUGCCUCACACCCUGCCUUGAUCAUUAUUUGAUGUUGCAUGAAGUCAUAGUAACAACAAGUCCAAAUUCAAUAUCUGUUGGCUCUCCUCACAGCAAAAUAAGUGGUUUAUGAUUUUUGGCUGUUAGAAGUUCUUCUGCUUUCCUUUUUUUUCCCCUGAACUAGAAGUUUUUCAGAUUCUGUAAUCUAAGAACUUUUGUGCUUUAGGUCACUGGCAUUUCCAGCUUCACAUCUGAUCUGAUGGGACUGUCUAUAAAGUAGAUCUGGCUUUUUGUCUGAGCUGGUGGCCUAACAUUAAUUUUUAAUGAGUAAAAUGAAACAUGCUUUGGUAAAAUGAGAUCCAUUCAGGCUAGAGUAGCUAAGAUGAACCAUGCCCUAAAACUACUUAUAUACCUAUUUCAUACUGUCAGUUACAAGAAGAACCUCCAGUAAUGAGGUCAGAAGUAGAAAUCUACAGUUUAGGCAUCUGAAGUAUAGAUAUCUGUCUAUCUCAGUUUAAACCACACAUAACAUGUAUCUGUGAAGCUUAAUACGUAGGUUGCCCUAAUGUCUCUGAAUUCCACCAGAAACUUCUGACAUCCUUGGAUGUGGCUUCCAUCUGGGUGUGCAGUCUCAUUUCCAAGAACUUUUGUUUUUUUCUUACCACCAAAUGAAAUGAGGCCUCAUCUUAAUCAAGGGACAGAACUUCUGAAAUGAUUUGGAAAAUUUCUUUGUCUAUGUGGUAGAGUCCUCACAUUGUAAACCAUCAUCACAAUCAUCCCUAGCUGAUGGCCAAAGCGUUAUAUUAGGCAGGUUCCCCUAAACUAAAGGAAGAACGAUGCCAGCUUAUUUCCUCAUCUUGAAAAGUGGUCCCUUUGGUGCAGUACUGCAACACUGCAGUACUACAGUACUGGUUUAGGUUGUGUUUCAUGCUAUAUCCAUUACCUCCAUAGACUACAUAUGGAUAAAAGGUUUGUAAUUUAACAAACUUGCGAUUACUAAAUAGCAGGAUGUAAAAGAGAAAGAAACACCACUGAAACAAAUAAUAAGUGUUGGAAUGUUACAUUUUCUUGUUUUUUACAUAUGACAGAGACACACCAUCAUUCUGGAGUUUGUUACUGUAUGACAGCGAAGUUGAAUUUUGACAGUAAUUUAACAGGUUUUCUCAGAUAUAUCAAAACUACAGAGCUGGGAUGGCUGUUUAAUUGCUGUCUUCUGGCAAUCUCUGAAAUUAAACAGCAUGUCCAUAACUUUACUGUUCAUUAUAGCCCAAACUAAACAAUAAUCAGAGUGUGAGACUCAGAUGUUUAAAGUCAGUUUUGUAGUUUUCUUUGGUAUUAAUGCAUUGCAUCAAGCUGCACAACUGCUUGGAUCAAAUUUACAUUUGUAUGUUUAUUCUGUAGCUCAGUAGUUAAUUUGUUUUCAAUCUGUGAUGGAGAACAUUACAAAAUGUUAUUCUCUGGUGUUUCAUUGUUAAUCCUCUGUAUAAUACACACCAAAUAUGCUAUAGCAUUUUUAGAGGAAACUUAGUUUUACAAUUCUGUAAGCAUUUUUAAUCUAAUCUAAUACUUCUCCUUCAAUUAUUUUACUUUUAUGAGAUAUUGUCUUUUGAAUUUACAUUUCCAAGUCUUAAGUAGCUUUUUUUUGGUAGUUAUUCUGAUUUUGAGAGGCUCUGCUAUUUUUAAGACAAGCAAAGAAAAAUAAUGGACAUUUCUCUAAUUGGA
Molecule: long non-coding RNA, 5499 nt
Organism: Myiozetetes cayanensis
Lineage: Eukaryota; Metazoa; Chordata; Aves; Passeriformes; Tyrannidae
Exons: 6
Source: RefSeq, a predicted model, not a curated record